GGAGAGGACUGAGAGUUUGGCUUUUUUUUUCCCCCCGCAGCAGCAGCCAAUCCCCUGCUUGGCUGAGGGCGGGGCCUCUCUCUGGCCCCGUCUCUUGCCCUUCCCCCACUCUUUCUCCAGAACCCUGAAGGGAGGUCCAGAAAUCAAAGCCGUUAGUGUGUGCAAACUCUCCCGGUGUCUCGGGCCCCCAGCUAUUUCAGAUUGUAUGCCAGCACACAACUGGCUUCCAACAAUUUGUUAAAAUUUUAGCUGAUUUCUUACCCAGUUUUACGGACCCCGUGUGUCUUCCCCACUCCGUGCCCACGCCUGGCACAGGCUUUUCUCAUUGUGAGUGUGGGAGAAACACUUUCCAGCUUUCUACACCUUUGUGGGAGCCCAAAUCCUCUUGUCUUUGAAACCUCUCUUCCACCUUCUACCCACCAAUGUUCCCAAGCUAAUGCUACCUGUUUGAGGUUGGUCUUAACAUUCCACUUCCAGGUACCAAUUUUUAUUCAGGAAUCUUUUUGUCCUGUUACCUAUUGGUGCAUAACAAAUCACCUCAGAAUGCGUUGGCUUCAAAUAAAAAUGUCCUGCUAUUUCUCAUA
Molecule: non-coding RNA, 584 nt
Organism: Vicugna pacos (alpaca)
Lineage: Eukaryota; Metazoa; Chordata; Mammalia; Artiodactyla; Camelidae
Source: RefSeq, a predicted model, not a curated record